Molecule: long non-coding RNA, 451 nt
Filed under: Gossypium barbadense (sea-island cotton)
Lineage: Eukaryota; Viridiplantae; Streptophyta; Magnoliopsida; Malvales; Malvaceae
Description: long non-coding RNA (GBAR_LNC003820)
Source: RNAcentral
UUCACAUACCUUGCUCCUGACGGUUUUUUUUUUAAAGAUCUGUGUUCGAUAUUCGGGAAUAGACACACAAGGAGCCCCUAAAGUAAAACCAAGCUUUUCACCUUAAAUAAAGGUGAUAACCAUCAGGAAUAGACAACAAAAUAGCUUCCAAAGGAGCAGAGUCAUCAGCACUAUGCAUUUUUCCCCCUUUCAUAUGUCUUCAGGCCAUUAGCGGUAUCUGAGGAAGAGCCACCAGCUAAUUGGAACGAAGAUAAAGAAAAUAACAUGAUGCUGACAAUGUUUUAGUGAUGAUAAUAUGAAAUUAUAUAUAAAUGGCAUUUACAACUUUCACUUAAACAUGGAAACAAAUAAAUGUUUGACCUGGGAGGAGAGUACCUUGUAGUAACUGACAUAAAAAAUAGCUGAAAACAUAGAUGCUGAUAAAGAUGGGAGAGCAAAUACUGGAGCCGCU